This 1047-nucleotide unclassified non-coding RNA is filed under the name Anthonomus grandis grandis. RNAcentral describes it as "rNA-binding protein 1-like". Lineage: Eukaryota; Metazoa; Arthropoda; Insecta; Coleoptera; Curculionidae. The record is from RNAcentral.
ACUUUAUUUCCCUAUUAUUCACUUUUACUAUUGAUUGGUGUUCCCUUCGUUUUCCAUUGUUCCUUCAGGUUACUGACCAGACCUCUAUUCAGAGGAUUCUUAAUUUCCUAAAUUAUAUUUUUCAAACAGGCAUAAUUGUUUUGGUAUAAGGAACUUGCAUUAAACAGAUCUCACCAAGAAUGUCCCGCUAUCGUGAAUGGGACCUUUCUUGUAAGGUUUAUGUAGGUAAUUUGGGUUCUUCAGCAAGCAAACAUGAAAUAGAGAACGCGUUCAGCAAAUAUGGUCCUCUGAGGAAUGUUUGGGUUGCCCGAAACCCGCCUGGGUUUGCAUUUGUUGAGUAUGAAGAUCCAAGGGACGCUGAUGAUGCAGUCAGAGGCCUUGAUGGGACUCGUUGUGGUGGAGCAAGAAUCCGGGUUGAAAUGUCCAGUGGUAGAUCUAGGAGGGGCGGUGGAGGCAGAAGGAGAGAUAGGUACUCGCCCAGGGAUCGGAUGCCUACGUCAACAAUGGCGCUGUUUCACCACCAACUCAUCCCUCCCUGAGACAACACAUCACCCCCUACAGUUCCCCCGUUGGAUUUAUUUGAAUACAACACCACCACCACCGACAUCCAUCAUCUUUAAAAACAUCGCGUGAAAAAGCGCCUAUAAAUCCGAUCUGGCGUCAAUCCCUUUGAAAUUUUCUCGGAACAACAACAAAAGUUUUCCCUGUCCUGGCGCCGCUGCACAACCAACCAAUUCCAACUCCUUUACGACGUAGCUUCGCCUGCAUGGGUCACACAUCACAAAUGAAAUUUCAGCUCUAAAUAUCUGCUUUCUACUACCUCUACUCGACGCAAUACAAAGUCUGAUCUCGUAGUCCAAGAAGGGAUAGAUCCAGGUCACGUGACAGAUCCCGCGAUAGAUCUAGGGACAGAUCACGAGACCGUGACCGUGAUCGCAGGUCCGACUCGAGGGACCGCAGGAGCGAUUCACGUGAUAGACGUUAAGGAAACUCGACCCGAUGUAAUUACCAUUCUAAGGGAUGACAGAAUAGUAAAUAUUAAAAUAA